Molecule: long non-coding RNA, 652 nt
Organism: Artibeus jamaicensis (Jamaican fruit-eating bat)
Lineage: Eukaryota; Metazoa; Chordata; Mammalia; Chiroptera; Phyllostomidae
Exons: 5
Source: RefSeq, a predicted model, not a curated record
GUGAGUUUCUCGCGUAGUAUGUGUUAUUGUCACAACGAUGAGUUCGGUGCUAGCUGUGGAGUCUGCGGCGAACAAAGGGAUCCCAGCUGUGCUCUUUUGAAGCUUAUGUGAAAUUAUAACAACAAACAAAUGCAAAGCCAUAUAAAGUCAAAAUAAGAGCAAGGUUUAAAGGUCGUCGCUUUCUCGUCUGCAAUUCUGAAAUCCAGGAUCACGCCUGCAAUUUUGGUGAAUCAGGAUGAUGCUGUCACCAACCAAGAACUCACUGGAGGCGUGGCGUUUGACUUGGACUUGCGGAUCCACGCGAUGGGACUUCUCACUGCAGGAGGAGGCGUGGCGCUUCACCUGGGCCCCAGUGGGCCGUUCCAGCUUGUCGUCCUGGGUGGGAGAUGGAGGAAGGGCCCCACAAGACUUGUACCCAGGGGAGCCGUCGGCAGUAGCAGCUUGUCCUGGGCCGACCCCUGAGCCUGUCUCCAGGCCCCCUUUCCUCUGACUCCAGUGAGCUGACAGCAGCCCUGGACGGCCAACGCGGAGCCCGCCCGGGCUCUCUCCUGAUGCUCUUCUGUCCUAGGCCCUUCCUUGUUUCACUGUCUGCAGCUUCAGUGAACUUAGUCUCAAAAAAAAAUUAUCAGUGGUUAGCUGUCGGUCAAUGGGA